This 260-nucleotide ribosomal RNA is filed under the name uncultured bacterium. RNAcentral describes it as "partial 16S ribosomal RNA". It matches the Rfam family "Bacterial small subunit ribosomal RNA", at positions 28 to 290 of the family's 1533-position model. The record is from RNAcentral.
GACGAACGCUGGCGGCGUGCUUAACACAUGCAAGUCGAGCGGUAAGGCCCUUUCGGGGGUACACGAGCGGCGAACGGGUGAGUAACACGUGGGUGACCUGCCCUCAGCUCUGGGAUAAGCCUGGGAAACUGGGUCUAAUACUGGAUAUGACUCCACGGUGCAUGUCGUGGGGCGGAAAGCCUUGUGCGGCUGAGGAUGGGCCCGCGGCCUAUCAGCUUGUUGGUGGGGGAUGGCCUACCAAGGCGACGACGGGUAGCCGG